RNAcentral lists this long non-coding RNA (13620 nucleotides) under Nicotiana benthamiana. RNAcentral's name for it is "long non-coding RNA (NBEN_LNC028672)". The record is from RNAcentral. Lineage: Eukaryota; Viridiplantae; Streptophyta; Magnoliopsida; Solanales; Solanaceae.
UUCUACAAUCCGACCUCAAAUGGUCCUUCAAAUCCUCAAUCAAAGGUCUAACUUUCCAAGCCCUAGUUCUUUAUUUUUUGGCUUAAUUUCCAUGAUUAUUUAGGUGUAAUUCACAUUAGAAUCGAGUUUUAAGUCCGAAAAUCUUACCUCCCAAAUUUUUCCCUUGAAUCCCUCUUCAAUCCUAUUCAAAAAACUCCAAAAUCUCUCCAAAAUGGUGGAAGUUAGGUUGAAAGUCGUAGAAUAGCCUUUCUAAAACAUUCCCAAAACUUGUAGACAUAUCCCAAAACCUUAUUCAAACUUGUAUCAAUUUAUAAAACAGCUCAAGCAACAUCAAAACCCACCAAAACACAUCGAAUUCAAGCCUAAGGUUCUAAAAUCUUUCGCAUUCUACUUUUGAUAAAAAAAACCAACCAAACCGCAUCCGAAUGAACUGAAAUUUUGCACACAUAUCUCAAAUGACAUAGCAAAGCUAUUGAAAUUUCCGGAAUUCUAUUCCGAUCAAAAUCUCACUUACCAACCGGGAAUCGCCAAAAUGCCAACUUCGCCAAUUCAAACCUAAAUCUACUCCGAACCUCCAAAACGCAUUCCGAUCACGCUCCUAAGUCCCAAAUCACCUCCCAAAGCUAACAAACCAUCGGAACUCAUAUCCUAGCCCUCUAACACACAAGUCAACAUCCGGUUGACUUUUCUAACUUAAACUUCCUUAAAUAGACUAAGUGUCUCAAACCUUAUCAAAUCCUUUUCGAAGCCAAGCCAACUAACCCGAUCUCAUAAAGAAUUGAUAAACAAAGAAAUAAGAAGCAGGAAUUGGAAAAAUGGAGCGAUAACUCAUGAGAUGACUGGUCGGAUCAUCAUAGGCAUCCUAUUCAUCAUGAAUAUAAUAUUAAAUAACCCAGUCACUUAUUCCAAUCCGGCUCUACCCACGCACCUCCAAAGUUCAAUUGUAAUUUCGUCAGGCCCCGUAGCUCUGCCCUCCAAAGUUCAAUCGUAAUUUCGUCAGGCCCGGUAGCUCUGUCCAACAAUAACUAAAGUCAUGGAGACUUUCGGCAUUCCUCAACUCACAUAGAGAAAUAUCCUGACCCCCUUCUUUAUUUAGAAGUUUCUGAAAGUAGGCCUACCAUCUCCUCUUAAUCUGGUCAUUCCCCGUCAAAACUUUACCCUCCUCAUCUUUGAUGCACCUGACUUGGUCCAGAUCCCGAGCCCUGAUUUCUCUCACCUUAGCGAUCUGGAAUAACUACAUCUCCGGUCUAACUUAAGUUUUACUCAAAUGCGAGAAAUGUUUUGCAAAUGCGAAGGUCCCCCAUCUCAGGUGCCUUUGUAAAUGCGAACAUAAUGUUCGUAAAUGCAGAUGGUGAGGAUCUCAAAUGCGACCAAAGAUUUCGCAAUUGUGAAAGUCCACCUCCCAGCCUACUACUCGUAAAUGCAAUGGUUCCUUUGCAAAUGUGAGGCUCAGGUUUGCAAGCUAGACUUCGCAAAUGCGAAAUCCACAUAUUUAAUACACCAGCUAUGAUUUUCUAAAAUUAUUGCACUCUGUAGCCUAUGUAAAACUCAUUCGAGCCCUCGGGUCUUCAAACCAUACAUGCAUACAGGUCCAAAAAUAUCAUACGAACUUGAUCGUGCGAUUAAAUCUCCAAAAUAACACCUAGAACUAUGAAUUGAACACCAAAUCAAAUGAAAUUUUCAAGAAAACUUUAAAACGUCUAUUUGAAGAACCGAACAUCUGAAUCACGUCAAACCAACUCCGUUUCUCACAGAAUUUAACAGAUAAGUAUAACAUAUAAAAAUGGACAUAUACUAGGCUCCGAAACCAUAAUACGGAUCUGGUAUCAAUAAAAUCAAACAUCAAUCAAAUAUUAAAAUCAUUAAAUUUUCAAACUUUAAAUUUUCAAUAAAAAUUAAUAACUCUAACUCGGGACCUCCAAAUCUGAUUCCGGGCAUAUAUUCGGUCCCAAAUUACAAUAUGGACCCAAAUCAACUCAAGUGAAUUUUUAAGGCAAAAUUCUUAUUUUUAUCAGUUUCAACAUAAAAGCUUUCCAAAAAAUAUCUGAAUUGCGCACGCGAAUCAAUGAGAAUUAAGUUGAGGUAUUUAAGGCUUCGAAAUAUGGAAUUAAAUUUUAAAAUAUAAGAAGACAUUUAGGGCCAUCACAAUGACCAAAGCCUAUUAGUACUUAAUUAUUCUCAUAUUGGGUCAGAUUCAUGAAAUGAGAAGUUAAAAGAAAUAGAGCAUGAAAUAAGUUAUUUAUUUAUUUUAAUUUUGUUUUACUUUUACUUUUCUUACUUACCCGCUAGCAGCAUGUUUAGUCCGACCACACUUCGGUAGAAGAGACCUUUAGGAAGUUUAUAUUUUGUUUUCGAGGUUAAAGGUUGUUCCUUAGCUUAUUAUUUUAGCCAGGAAAUACCCCGAAGUACAUGUAUUUGGAGGCUAUGACGGAUAUCAUGGAGGAAGCACACUAUAGAUUGAUAUAGGAUCUUUAAUACUUUUUUUCUUUUCUUUUUUAUUUUAUUUAGGUGGGGACAACUUCAAAGCUCCUUUGUGUUUGUCUCUCCUUUUUAUGUGGUUUACCUUAAUUAGAAUAUUCUUAAAAGCAAACUCGAUCAAGUAUGCAAUUAUACUAGUUACGCGGACCGGAGAAUAUCUAACACAUUUUCCCUGAGUCAAAUGAACCCACUUACCUUGAAUUUCUAGUGCAAUCAUUUUCAGAGUCUAACAUGUUUCAAAAGAACCAACCAUUUGUAAAAACAGUGACCUGACACACCAAAACUGAACGUCAGGAGGCGAAUCUAAAAUUUCUUUUAAAACACAAUUUUGUCAAUUUUCAAUAUUGAAAAUCCUUUUGAGCUUCAAUUUUUUUUUUUUUUUGUUUAUUUUAAAGGGGUUAGUGAGGUAUAAAAGAAACUAAACAUAGACAAAAAAAUACAAAUCACACGAGCGGAAAGAUAUUAAGCAAGCUAGGACUCAACAAUAAAGUCUAUGGAAUAUGAAAUUUUUGAAAAUAUAAAUGUAAAUCAUACAAAAGGAAACAUAUUCAAUAUAUUGGAGUUUGCUACUCAUAAUCGUUAGAAUGCCUAAUAUCUUUCUAAUGAAUAUGCUGGAAAUAACUUAGUUUCAAUAGGGUAGUAUCAUAUAAGUUGGGAAUUAGGAUUUUAAGUUUAGUUACUUCUUGGAUGGUAACCAUUUCAUAAUUUCAAGGUCCAAGAAAAAGCUUCAUGUUUUAUUAUUUUUAAACUUAAUAUAUAAAUAUAUUUUUCCCAUGAAAAUUUAUUCGGUAUGGUUCGGUAUGUUUUUUAUUUAAUUUCAUAAAAUAAAAAAACCUACCAUAAUUAUCGGUACGAUUAUAUAUUCAUACAAAACUUACGAUUUUAUUAAAAGAAACCUAAAAAUCGAUUUGGUACAGGGCGUUGCGGUCGGUUUAGUCAGUUUUAGAAUAUCCGUUGACACCCCUAUUUGUUACAACAUCUUUAUAUUCCAUCUUUAGCUUGGAGCGGUAUUAUUAUGGACUUCAUUAAAGGUUUACCUAAGUCUAAGGGAAAAGAAGUCAUAUGGGUGAUAGUAGAUAGAUUAACUAAGUAUGCCCAUUUUGUUGGUUUGCCGCAUCCCUAUACUACUAUGGACAUUGCCAAACUCUUCAUGGAUCAUAUAUUUAAGUUACAAAGCAUGCCGGCAGACAUUGUUGGUGACAGAGAUCCAGUCUUUACUAGUAAAUUGUGGCAAGAACUAUUUUCAAUGCAAGAAAUAACCUUAAAUACAUCUACCGUUUAUCAUCCCCAAUCCAAUGGUCAAAUUGAGGUUAUCAACAUGUGUCUAGAGACAUAUAUGAGGUGCUAUGGUUCUGAUUCCCCCAAGGAUUGGGUUCAGUAAUUAACUAAUGGUGGUAGAAUACUACUGUCCACAUUAGUAUCCAAACAAUCUCAUAUGAAGCUUUGUAUCGGCACACUCCAGCUUUGCACUUACCAUGUACCAGGGUGAUUCAGAUGUAAUAGAGGUGGAUAUGUUUGAUCACAAGGGAGUUAAAACUACAAUUGUUAAAGUUUUACUUGGGAAGAUCUCAAUAAAGGAUGGUCGACAAGAUAGACAGUUCCAGAUAGGAGAAUAGGUCUACUUGAAGAUGCAAUCCUACAGACAAUUAUCUUUGCCAAGCAGACAUUUUAAUAAACUCUUUUAUAAAUAAUAUGGUACCUGUUAAAUCUUCUAAAAGAUUGGUAAUGUCGCUUACAAGCUAGCUUUAUCACACCAGUUACCCCUGCAUUCAACCUUCCAUGUUUCACUCUUUAAACCAUGCUAUUAAAUUUCAAAUUCUCUCCAUCUUCCACCAGUCCUAUACUUGUCCAGUCCCUACUGUCCAUAUCCAGCAAAGGUGUUAGAGCCGACGGAUGAUACAAAAAGAAAACAAAGCAGUGGUCCAGUAUUUAAUACAGUGGGCAAAUUUGCUUGAAGACCAAACAACAUGGAAAGACUCUAAUGUAUUGAAAGUCAGAUUACAACCUUCAUUCCUUGAGGUCAAGGAAUUCUUUUAAGGGGAGUACUAAUAUGAUCUGAGGAGUAGCUGAGUUGUGCACAGCUGCAGGAUGUAAUACUUUACGCUUUAGUAGCAGUAAGGAAUAAGUCGUUAAAUUAGUUGUAUAAUUUUGGGACAUUGACGGUUUGAUCCCUUACUUAUUUAGACUUAAGUCUAUUAGUUAUAUUACUUUACACUCAAGAUCUAUAUUUCUAAUUGAGUUGGUAUAUAUAUCAGAAGGGUGUUCAGUGAGAAAUAUGAAAAGAAUGACUUUCUAUUUUCUUCUAAUUCUCUUUAAUUUACCCUUUUUUUUUUGUUAAACAUUUCUAUCCAUUGAUAUUCCAAAAAAAUAUUUACAGUUGAAGUUUCAGUAAGAGAUUGGACUACUCCUACUCAUUUACAUCAUUCUUCUAUACUAAAUUCUAAUUUUCUCUAAGUACAUUAUAGUAUAGGAUUUCCUAGUAAACUAGAAGCUAAGGAUAUUUGUUGAGUUUGUCCAGUCCAGCUUGCCAUUUCCUGCAGUUUCUGCCUCGGAUAUGAAUUGAUAAGGCUAUUUCUCUGCACAGUAGAGAUGCAUCAAAAUCAUAGUAUAGGAUUUCCUAGUAACUAGAAAACUAAGGAUCUUUGUUGAGUUUGUCCAAUCCAGCUUGCCAUAUCCUGCAGUUUCUGCCUCGGAUAUGAAUUGAUAAGGCUAUUUCUCUGCACAGUUGAGAUGCAUCAAAAGUUGUCCUAUUAAAUCUGAUGUUGUUCCUUUCUCUCUAGAUAAGAGCCACAGUGUUUAUGAAGGCACAUGCUGUAAUACUAUUAAGUGUCACUCUACUCUUGGCCUUGCUGCACACCCACAGCAUUUCUGUUUCCCAGUUCCCCACAGUCCUAUGGUGUCCCAGCCAGGAGCACAGUCUGUUCCACAAGUUCUUAGUGACUGGGCAGUCAAAGAACAGGUGGCUAAAUGUCUCACUGCUUUGAUCACAGAAUACACAAUUUCCAGGAACUUGGAUUCCAAUCUUCUGUAGUCUGUCAAUUAUAGGUAGUCUUCCUUGGGCAGCUAACCAGACUGUAAAUUUGUACCUUGGUUGAGCUUGAGCAAGUAAAACCAGGUUCUUCCAAGUAACCUUACUAUAAGCAGGAGUUCGGGAACUUGAAUUCCAAUCUUCUGUAGUCUGUCAACUGUAGGUAGUCUUCCUUGGGCUGCUAGCCAGACUAUAAAUUUGUACCUUGUUUGAGCUUGGGCAAGUAAAACCAGGUUCUUCCAAGCAACCUUGCUAUAAACAGGAGUCAAUGCCAGGUAUAACUUCUGGAUAAGGAAUUGAUCCAGUCUGCAGAAGCCUUGCAAUCUACUGAAGAGGUUACCUUGAAUUAGUUGAGAUCCCAUUAGGUCAUCCCUUCUAUCCAGUAUCUUCUUUACCACCCAAGAAGUUGUCUUGUGUAAGGGAAUUGUUUCUAAGUCUCUCUACUUGAUGUAGUAGCUAUGCACCCAUCUAAUCCAUAAGCAAUCCUUCUUUUUUGCCAAGUUCCUGAGGUGUUUGCUGAUUGCAGCCUUAUUCCAGACUGUCAUAUCUAUAAUAUUUAGUCCACCUGCAGAGAUAGGCCUACAAACACUGUCCCAUGCCACUAAUGCCUUUCUGGACAGCUUCACACUCCCAGUCCAAAGAAAUGUUCUGCAAAUAGUUUCAAUGGCUUUUAACACUUUCUUAGGAAGGAUAAACACUUGAGCCCAAUAAGUUUGAAUGCCAAAUAUGACUGAUUAGUUCUGCAAAUAGUUUCAAUGGCUUUCAAAACUUUCUUAGGAAGGAUAAACACUUGAGCCCAGUAAGUUUGAAUGCCAAAUAUGACUGAUUUAAUGAAUUGACAUCUUCCAGCAUAAGAAAGCAACUUGGCAGACCAGCAUGUUACUUUAGCUGUUAUCUUCUCAAUAAUUGGUAGAUAGUGGCCAACAGAUAGUUUUUUGGAGUCAAGGGGGAUCCCCAGAUAUCUGAAAGGCAGUUUGCCUUCAAUGAAUCCCAAAGCUUCCAGAAUCUGAUCCUUGUCAUCCUGUGUAACUCCAGCUAUAUACAAUGUACUUUUUGACAGAUAUGCUUGCAAUCCUGAGGCAUUAGAGAACUUGAGGAAGGCUUCCCUUAGGAUUUGGACAGACACCAGAUCAGCUCUACAAAACAUUAGUAAAUCAUCAGCAAAGCAAACAUGUGUACAGUUUAGUUUCCUGCAUUUUGGGUGAAAGUUGAAGUCACCAUUUGUGUGUAGUUGCCCCAGUAUCCUGUUGAGGUAUUCCAUGGCUAGUACAAAUAGGUAGGGUGACAUAGGGUCACCUUAUCUAAUACCCCUUUUAACUUUGAAAGGCUUUGUGUGGCCACCAUUAAGCAUGAGGUAAUUUUUGGCCAUUCUCAUAGUUUAAAGGCAAAUUUGAUCCUUGUUUUCCCUGUUAAACGGGCUGAGUUGUAAAUAUUUUUAUUAGAGACUAAGCUUUUAUGUUAGUGAUAAAUCUGAUCUCAAUUAUAAAAGGAUGAUAAAUUUUGAUCAUUUCACGUAGUUCAAGGAUAUUUUUAAAUAUUUUUUCUAAUUUCAUUUGAUUUGAUUGAUUGGACAUUUGGCCAAUUUUUUAGUCAAUGAAGGAACCUUUUGGCUCCCCUCUAACAACUUUCCAACUCAAUUAAUUGGCGCUUCAUUUACGACCCUUAUAGGAAUGAUUUCGUGCAGCAUGAAGAUAAUUUUCUUUGAGAAAUUUAACCAAAUUCCAUCUUUUAAGACAGUGUUAAAUCCGUGUGCCAAAGUCAAGUUUAAAAUUUCUUAUACUACCAAUUUUUUUUAUCAAUGCCAUUAUUUAUUGCCAUCAGUGGUGAACAUGGAAUGGCUUUUUGACAUGUCGAUGAAACAAACGCGUAAACCUUUGAGUCUACAAGGCACUACACGUGGAGAAAAGAAAAAAGGCUAAAAGCACUGCACACGGCGUAAUUCUUUGCUUGAUGACUUUGGACAUGAAUUAAUAGUCUUUGAUUCAGAAAAAAAAAUCAAUUCUUGAACAUAGUAAUCAACGUUACAAUAGUUGAAAAAACGAGGAAGUUAAUUCCUUCUUUAUAUUUGUAAAAAUAAAAUAUUGCAAAUUAUAAAAAAAAGAUCAGUAAUCAAUUAAAUUAGAUCGGAGAGUAAUCUAAUCACGAAAUUAGUCACUUAAAAUUCAAUUUACAUUAAUAAAAGUUUUUAAAAAGUAAUUGUAGAAUACUGUAUUUAAUAAACACGAAUAAUAACGUAUUGUAUCAAGUUAAAUUACAUUAAUAGGGUAAUUAUAAUAUUAUCAAUUUAGCAUGUGAUAGAAUUUUUUUAUAGUAUUAUUUUUAUUAAUUAAUAUUUGUGAUAAAAAAAAUUCAUCUGUGUUUCUCUUAUAAAUAACUUUUUGAAUCUUCAAUGUACAUAACUCGUACGUUAUAAAUAAAAAUAUCCCGAUAAAUAACUACACCAUUAAACACAGUUGACGGCUACAGAAAAACAAGCGACCUGUCAAAAUUGAUCAAAUUACACGGAGUCGGAGUGCGUAAAAGAGAUCAAUCUCACAAUGUGCAAUUUUGAAGGCAAAAAUUCGGGAUUUUUGUUCUAGAAUAAGAGGCACAACGUUUUCAUGAUCUUCAUUUGACUAUUUUUCAACUCCACUAGGUAUGAACUGGUAGCGUACAGAUCUAAUUUGAGUAUUAUAAUAUUUGCAUAGAGCAUAAAGAUCCGUUCCAGUCUUUAAAUCUAGGAUAUACUAUUAAAAAGGUACUGCUCCCCUCGUUCUCUUACCAUUCAGCUCGGCCUUUUCAGCACUUUCUUAUACAAUUAAAUACUCCACUAACUUUCUUGGAUCAAUCUCCUUAUUCCUUUACUCUUCUUACAACCAAGAUUGGAUCAUAUUCUCACUUCUCUUCUUGACCGACACUUUGAUUUUCCGUUCGUGGGUAUAAGAUUUCAGAUCUCUUUUUAUUCUCUUAACAUUCCACUCUUGUACUUUCUUGUUCCUUUUCUGACUUCAGUAUUAGUACAUUUUUUAUUUUUUUCAACUUUUGGUUUGUGUUUAGGUAAUUUGGGAUCCGGUCAUAUUUGAAUGUUUGGUUUGAGUUCAACUUUAUUUUGAUUUUUUGAGUAAUAGUUGACCCCAACAUUUUUUAUCUUUUUCAACUUUUGGUUUGUGUUUAGGUAAUUUGGGAUCAGGUCAUAUUUGAAUGUUUGGUUUGAGUUCAACUUUGUUUUGCUUUUUUGAGUAAAGAGAUUUCAUAUAGUUAACCCCAACAAAUUUUAGAAUUGAGACAUAUGUGAUCGAUUGGCUUGUAUGUUUCAUUUUCGGUAGCUUUUCGAGUAAAGAACUUGUCUUUUUGUACCCUUUUGUGGGUUUUGUGUGAUAAUAUCUACUGUAUUGUAAUUGUACUGAGACAUAUUUGUUUGUGUUCAGCUUUGUGUUGCUAACUUUUGUGGUUUUUGUGUUACGAUGUGCACUGUAUUGUGUAGUGUGUAAUGUGGGGUUUUGAUCUUUGGAUAAGCAGGUGAAAAAUGGCUCAGAUUCUGCUUCAUGGAACUCUCCAUGUCACAAUCUACGAGGUCGAUAAUCUGCAAAAAGAGGGAGGUGGCCACUUCUUCAGCAAGGUAUACAUAUGAUCUAUUUGUUCUUAAUCAACUUGGAUCACGAGGGCAUCUUAUUCAAUUUAAAUUUUUGUUUCCCUCAUUUGUUGCCUAGAUUGAGUGCAAGGUAUGAAAGAUUUGAUCAGUUGUUCCAAAAUUAGUACUUUUUUGUAUGGCUAACACUCUUAAACAGCUUUAUUAAAAGUAAGAGCCAUCAUGAUGCAAAGCUAGGGGUAGGACAUACCAACAUAUUGGAUGCUAAAAUUAGUAUCUUAAUUGCAAUUUGGCUGUUGUAGCAUUAUAUCAAUAUAUGUUUGGUAAUGUUUUAAUUUUUCAUAACAUGUAUGCUUCACUUCUCACGUUUCGCUUCAAACCCCAUGAACCUUGUCUGUUUUUUUUUGGCACUUUUUGCUUUUAAAAACAUUGCUCUUAGACCCCUCGUGCAAUGAGCUUAAUUGAGCUAACUAUAAGUUAUGGCACUUACAAAGAGUGUACUCUCUAUCGUAGCUGCUAAAUUAUAGUGAGAUUCUUACACUAGUUCUGGACUUAAGUAGCUUCCUUCUCAGACCUUGUGUUUACACCUAAGCCUUCUCUUAAAACACCAUAAAGCCAGCGCGCAUUAUGAAACACAGUCAGUUGGAUCAUAUAAAGGAGUCCAUGAUUCACAUGUAUGCUUAAGUUAAUUUUAGCAUUUUGGCGAUUUCCUGAGGUUAAAUAACCUAGUAGAAGGUAAUUAUUGGUUACAACUAUCUGCUAAAACAGAUUUUGUUGAUUCUCCACUUCUCUUUCAAGUAUCAACGUAUCGAAUGUAUAAUUUGUAAUGAAUCUGUUUCUUUAAAUUCCUGAAAGUCAUCAGCACACAAACAUUUGCUUGUGGUAUAUGUGCAAGCAUAGUUUCGUGAUACAGAAUCAAAAAAAAGAAUCCGGCAGUUCUACCAUAUGAAUAACCUAUGUUUAAAGCUGCUGGAGAAAUUUACCCAUGCCCUAUCUUCUUCAGAAAAACUUCUACCCAAUUAUAGGUGCAAUAGAUUUCUUGUGCUAAUUGGUCCCUUCGUCCAUCCUCUCUCCUCUCUUUGUUCUGUAGUAUGAUGAAUCUAGAGAUAUGAGAUUUGUGGAAGUACUUGAUCUCCAUCAUUCUACUGUUGGAAAAAUAAAGCUGUUAUACAAGGAUCCAUCUAGAUAUUAUGUGUUUGUGUUGCCAGAUAAAAUCUGCUAUUUAAGUAGGAGCAGGGUAUAAAGGUGGGCUCAUACUGACUACACUCUGAGUUCAAUAUCAUAGUCCAGAAUUUUGGGUACCUCAUAUUUCAGCUAAAUAUAUGAACUCCUGAAUCUUUUUCAUUAACAUAUAUAAGUCUCUGUAAUUCUCUGACCAUAGAGUAUAUGCAUUACUAAUAAAACAUAGGCAUCUUUCUCUUUUAAUGUAAUUAUAUGUUUAAGAACUUUACUAGCCAUUUUUCUUGAUAAAAAGAUUUUCUCGGAAUUCUAAUCCUGAUUUGGCUAGAAUAGAGUCCUUCCUGAGGAAAUGAUUGCCCCUUUUAUGACAAAAUUUGAAAUCUCAUUGCAGAUAAAGGAACAUGUUGAGGAGACAAUUGGUCUUGGAAAAGGUACUCCUGAAAUUUAUGCUACAGUUGAUUUGGAAAAGGCCAGGGUUGGGAGAACCAGAAAGAUUAAAAAUGAACCAAAAAAUCCGAGGUGGUAUGAGUCUUUUCACAUUUACUGUGCACAUAUGGCUUCAAAUGUUAUAUUCACUGUCAAAGAUGACAAUCCCAUUGGUGCAACCUUAAUUGGAAGAGCUUAUGUACCAGUUGAAGAACUUUUGGAAGGGGAAGAGAUUGAUAAAUGGGUUGAGAUACUGGAUAGAGAAAUGAAUCCUAUAGAAGAAGGUUCCAAAAUCCAUGUGAAGCUACAGUUUUUUGAUGUCAGUCGAGAUCCUAACUGGGCACGUGGCAUUAGAAGUUCUAAAUAUCCUGGCAGAAGGUUCCAAAAUCCACGUGAAGCUACAGUUUUUUGAUGUCAGUCGAGAUCCUAACUGGGCACGUGGCAUUAGAAGUUCUAAAUAUCCUGGAGUCCCUUACACUUUCUUUGCACAGAGAACAGGAUGCCGGGUUUCCUUGUAUCAAGAUGCGCAUGUGCCAGACAAUUUUAUUCCUAAAAUCCCUCUCUCUGGAGGAAAGUAUUAUGAGCCCCACAGAUGUUGGGAAGAUAUCUUUGAUGCUAUUACUAAUGCAAAGCACUUGAUAUAUAUUACUGGCUGGUCAGUGUAUACUGAAAUAACCUUGGUGAGGGACUCGAGGAGGCAGAAGCCCGGAGGUGACAUUACACUUGGGGAGCUGCUCAAGAAGAAGGCAAGUGAAGGUGUUAAAGUUCUUAUGCUUGUUUGGGAUGAUAGGACGUCCGUGGGUUUGCUGAAGAAGGACGGUUUGAUGGCUACUCAUGACCAAGAAACCGAACAGUUCUUUCAAGGUACCGAGGUGAACUGUGUCCUCUGCCCUAGGAAUCCUGAUGACGGCGGAAGCAUUGUUCAAAGUUUACAAAUAGGUACUAUGUUUACGCAUCACCAGAAAAUCGUGGUAGUGGACAGUGAGCUGCCCAGCGGAGAGUCGGAAAAGAGAAGGAUUCUGAGCUUUGUGGGUGGUAUUGAUCUUUGUGAUGGGAGAUAUGAUACACCUUUCCAUUCACUUUUUAGGACAUUGGACACUGCACACCAUGAUGAUUUCCACCAACCUAAUUUUCCUGAUGGAGCAAUUACCAAAGGUGGACCAAGGGAGCCCUGGCAUGACAUUCACUCUCGGCUUGAAGGCCCAAUUGCUUGGGAUGUUCUGUUUGUGGAGCUAUUACCAAAGGUGGACCAAGGGAGCCCUGGCAUGAUAUUCACUCUCGGCUUGAAGGCCCAAUUGCUUGGGAUGUUCUGUUUAAUUUUGAACAGAGGUGGAGAAAGCAGGGUGGAAAGGAUGUUCUAGUCAACUUUAGAGAGCUUGAUGAUAUUAUAAUUCCCCCAUCUCCGGUGAUGUACCUUGAUGAUUCUGAAACAUGGAACGUUCAGUUAUUCAGAUCUAUUGACGAGGGAGCUGCUUUUGGCUUUCCUGAGACGCCUGAAGAUGCAGCAAAAGCUGGUCUUGUCAGUGGGAAGGAUAAUAUAAUUGAUAGAAGCAUCCAAGAUGCUUAUAUUCAUGCUAUUCGUCGAGCAAAGAAUUUUAUUUACAUUGAAAACCAGUAUUUUCUUGGAAGCAGUUAUGACUGGCAGAGUGAUGAUAUCAAGAAAGAGGAGAUAGGUGCUUUGCAUGUCAUUCCAAAGGAACUUGCUUUGAAGAUUGUCAGCAAGAUUGAAGCUGGGGAAAGGUUUACUGUUUAUGUUGUAGUCCCAAUGUGGCCAGAAGGAAUCCCUGAGAGCGCUUCAGUACAAGCAAUAUUAGAUUGGCAGAGGAGAACGAUGGAGAUGAUGUAUAAGCACAUUGUUCAGGCUUUGAAUGCUAAAGGAAUAGAGGAGGAUCCUAGGAAUUAUUUGACAUUUUUCUGCAUUGGUAACCGGGAAGUGAAGAAGAGUGGAGAAUAUGAACCUUCUGAGACCCCAGAGCCGGAUUCUGAUUACAUGCGAGCUCAGGAGGCUCGACGCUUCAUGAUCUAUGUCCAUUCCAAGAUGAUGAUUGGUGAGUAAUGGUUUGCAAUUUUAGUUCUAUCUUAUUAUUUGAAAAAAAUAGUACUAACUUUAUUUCUGAACAGUUGAUGACGAGUACAUCAUAAUUGGAUCAGCCAACAUAAACCAGAGAUCGAUGGACGGUGCUAGAGAUUCUGAAAUAGCCAUGGGAGCUUACCAGCCUCAUCAUUUGGCUACAAGGGAACCAGCUAGGGGUCAAAUUCAUGGUUUCAGAAUGGCAUUGUGGUACGAGCACCUUGGUAUGCUCGAUGAAACCUUUCUACAUCCAGAAAGUGAGGAAUGUGUGACCAAGGUGAAUCGGAUGGCUGAUAAAUACUGGGAUUUGUAUUCAAGUGAGAGCCUGGAAAGAGAUCUGCCUGGUCACUUGCUUCGUUACCCCAUUGGAGUGGCCAGUGAAGGGGAUGUCACGGAGCUACCGGGAACUGAGCAUUUCCCCGACACCAAGGCCCGUGUUCUUGGUACUAAAUCUGACUACCUUCCUCCUAUCCUCACUACAUAGGUGGAUUAUUAACGUGUUGACUUGUUAUGCGAAGUGAGAUUAUGAGCUCAUAUAUUACUUCAGCCGCUGUUUGUUGUGGAAUAAUACAUGAUAGUUACUUGUUUUUUAACAUUUCUGUUGGGCAUUUUGUUGGACAGUACACUUGAGUUUGUAUGAGGUUUCUUUAUGUUGACUGGUCUUUAUUGUAGUUCACUCUUUAACAUUUUACGUUCGUGUUUUGGAAGGCGAUUUCGAAAACUAUAGCCCUGUAAUGCUUUCCUCGAGUUUUUAUCCCAGCUCCAUUUGUGUUGAAUUUGGUUCUUGCUUUUUCAUUGAAAAUGAAACAUGAGCUGUUUCACUUCUCCUAUAUUUGCACAUUAAAUGAUUUUGAAUUAAUUAUAAUUUCU